CCACCUCUGAAAAACAUCAUUUUGCCUUUCCAAAGCCUAAGAUCUUUGUUUAAUUUGCCUUCGUUUUUAGAAUAACAUUCUCAAAUUUCACCUCCUCCUGCUUCUUUUUCUUUGCAGAUGCAAGGGUAACUUGGCAGAGAACCACAGACAGCCACUCUGAGACACCUAAGUGUCAUUUUGCACAAGCCAAUGACCACUGCAUGGUUUGCAAGAAAUUUUGAAAUGUAAAAGCAAGAUUUUGAUUUGCAAACUUUCCUCAGGCUUCAAAGGGUUAAUCUUCUCCAGAAGAGCAUCUCCAUCUCCUUGGCAGGGUGGAUGAGAGUUGCUUGAAGAAAAUAUUCAGAUAAUCAUGUGGAGCUUAUUCCACAGAAUUUGAUGGAACUGUGACAGUUGCCUGCAUAUUUGAAGAACAGGGAUUUUACUAAAUGAAGGAUGUCAAUGCAGUUGCUCUAGCAGAUAAUUAUGCUUCAUGAACACUGGAUUCCAAUUAGAGAAGAACAAGUCCCUGGCAAUAGCCUCCUUAUACAGUGAAUUAAAAAGACAACUAAUUGGCAAAUGUGGUGCCAAAUAUGGAGGAAAAAGAGAAAGGGAAAAGGUGUUGUGUCAUCUGAGAGCCUCUUUGUCACCUCCAGCUGGGAACAGUGUCUUUUGCCUGCUGCCAGUGUGCUGCAACCCAGCACUAGAAGAUAAAGAUUGACAGAGAGGUAAUUUAUUGGCAGCAUGUCCCCAAUCAGGCCUUCAGUGAAAUAUCUCUCAGAGCCAAGUUGCCUAAAUUCCUCUGUCUACAUGGACGGUUCCUGCUCUUUCCAGAACUGAUGCUGUCUGGGGGGGUGCUGUGAAGCACCCUGAGCCUCCCAGGUCUUUAUGCUGAGAAUGACAAUGAUUUAAUGAAGAGGUGCAAAUGGAUGCAUGAGUGGAAAGGGGUGAGGAGUGUAACUAUUUCUGGAUUGCUACAGAGGAGCGCCAGAGAGAGAAUGUGCAAUGAGCUUGGGAAGGCUGCUCCUCUGCAGCUGCUGCUUAGAGGUUUGAUGCCUGUCCCUGGGCACACUAGGGAAUAAGCCAACCAUCUGAUAACAGUGGCAUCUAACAUGUGCCUUGCCUGGGGAUAGCAUCUAUCCACAAAAGGCACAAGAAAAACAUCAGUUUGUGAUGUAUCACUCAAGUUUUUUAAGUCAUUGAACAAUAAUCAGCAGUGAUUCAAAGGCUGGUUUUGACAGUUUUCUAGAAUUAUGCCAUACUUUUCCCAUCUCAUAUAUAUAAAAGUGUGUGUAUAUAUAUAUAUAUAUGUAGUAGAUACAUUAGUAUGACAUGCAUUCUAUAUUAUAAUUUAGUGUAUGUGCACAUUAUUAUAUACAUAACACAUGCAAACACACAUUAGCAGUCUUGUUAAAAAUACGUACAGCCUUUUUAUUUAUAAAGAAUGGAGAGUAUAAUCAAAUGUCAGACCCUGAAAAACCACAUGCCAAGGGAAUGCCACGUAGUCUGCCAUCCCUGUUCUAUGGCAGGUGGCUUUGAGGGACUACCAGAAGAACCUCAUGACAGUGAAUAAAGCUGACUGUACAAAUUGUGAGUUUUCUUCC
RNAcentral lists this long non-coding RNA (1580 nucleotides) under Parus major (Great Tit). RNAcentral's name for it is "lncRNA (ENSPMJG00000008538.1)". The record is from RNAcentral. Lineage: Eukaryota; Metazoa; Chordata; Aves; Passeriformes; Paridae.